AUUGAACGCUGGCGGCAGGCCUAACACAUGCAAGUCGAACGAGUGGCGGACGGGUGAGUAAUGUCUGGGAAACUGCCUGAUGGCGGGGGAUAACUACUGGAAACGGUCGCUAAUACCGCAUACCAUCAGAUGUGCCCAGAUGGGAUUGGCUUGGUGGUGGGGUAACGGCUCACCAAGGCGACGAGCCCUAGCUGGUCUGAGAGGAUGAACAGCCACACUGGAACGGUGACACGGUCCAAACUCCUACGGUAGGCAGCAGUGGGGAAUAUGUCACAAUGGGGGCAAGCCGGAUGCAGCCAUGCCGCGUGUAUGAAGAAGGCCUGCGGGUUGUAAAGUACUUUCAGCGGGGAGGCGUUACCCGCAGAAGAAGCACCGGCUAACUCCGUGCCAGCAGCCGCGGUAAUUC
This 406-nucleotide ribosomal RNA is filed under the name uncultured bacterium. RNAcentral's name for it is "partial 16S ribosomal RNA". It matches the Rfam family "Bacterial small subunit ribosomal RNA", at positions 30 to 526 of the family's 1533-position model. The record is from RNAcentral.